UGGCCAGACUCCUACGGGAGGCAGCAGUGGGGAAUAUUGCACAAUGGGGGAAACCCUGAUGCAGCGACGCCGCGUGAGUGAAGAAGUAUUUCGGUAUGUAAAGCUCUAUCAGCAGGGAAGAAGCAAGACGGUACCUGACUAAGAAGCCCCGGCUAACUACGUGCCAGCAGCCGCGGUAAUACGUAGGGGGCAAGCGUUAUCCGGAUUUACUGGGUGUAAAGGGCGUGUAGCCGGGUUGACAAGUCAGAUGUGAAAUCCUGCGGCUUAACCGCAGAACUGCAUUUGAAACUGUUGAUCUUGAGUACUGGAGAGGCAGACGGAAUUCCUAGUGUAGCGGUGAAAUGCGUAGAUAUUAGGAGGAACACCAGUGGCGAAGGCGGUCUGCUGGACUGCAACUGACGUUGAGGCUCGAAGGCGUGGGGAGCAAACAGGAUUAGAUACCCGAGUAA
This 449-nucleotide ribosomal RNA is filed under the name uncultured bacterium. Its description in RNAcentral is "bacterial SSU rRNA". It matches the Rfam family "Bacterial small subunit ribosomal RNA", at positions 328 to 793 of the family's 1533-position model. The record is from RNAcentral.